UAUAGAUAUAUGCACUGUGGAUUAGGAUCACAGUAAAGAAGCCUGGAGUCUCAGAGAAGUAUGGCUCCAGGUUCUGCAUGGAGUAGGAUCCCAGUCAGCAGCAGGAGCUAUAAUUCAAGCUUCUACUUUAGUGACCCUGUUCCAUUGUUCCUGGUAUAUACAGCUUUCUACUUUAGUGACCCUGUUCCAUCGUUCUUGGUACAGGAUCACUUCAGUUAUAAGUAACGCAUGUGCAAGUUCUGUUCAAGCUAUUAGACAAAGGAGCUUUAACACCGAAAGCUGCCACUAUCAAAAGUACUAACUUGUUGUGUGGAGGCUACUCAUGCUGUAAACGCAGUGCUAGAGCAUCCAGGUAAGCAGACCUAGUCACAAGCUUAUUCAAGCUUCUUAGCUUUUGCUCGACAAAGAAGCUUAACAGCAAAAUCUGCCACUAUGUAAAUCAAGAUAUUGUUGUGUGAAGGCUAUCCAUGCUGUAAACGCAGUGCUGUGGCAUCCAGGUGAGUAGAUAUACCUGUGACAAACAAACAGACAAACAAACAAACCUAGAGCACUAAAGUGCAAACCCUCGGCUGGUGACAUGAUAAUAAAGAAACCAGAAGAGUGAUAAUGCAGUGCAUGUAGCAUGUAUGACUAGCACAGCAACUCAAGAGCAAUAAAACUAAACCAGACUUGGAGGCAUGCUGAAACAUUGAGUGGUACAUGUCACAUUAGACAUGCACUGUGGACAGGGAUGACAGCAAAGAAGCCUGGAGCUUAGACUUAAAGAGGUAUGGCUCCUGCCAGGCUGGAGUAUAGGAUCCAGAGUUAGCCAACAACCAGUCACAAUUUUAGCUUUCUACUACAAUUAUAUUUGGUAAGGAUCACUUCAGCUGCAACUACGUAAUCAAGGCCACGUGUAGCUAGCUAGCUGCCAAUGUGCAAGUUCAAGCUUCUUAGCUUUUGCUCGACAAUGAAGCUUUAACAUCAAAAUCUGCCACUAUUUAAAUCAAGAUAUUGUUGUGUGAAGGCUAUCUAUGCUGUAAACGCAGCGCUGUGGCUAGCCUCGAUUCCAAGCCGCUGAGAAAGGCGUGGUAUACACUGUUUACGCAUGCGCCAGAAUUACCAAGAAUCUUGGUAAUCGUAAAUUGCAGUAUAUUUAUCAGUAUUCUUAUUCCGCAUUAGUUUGUAAAACAUUGAUAUCCGUUUCAUUUAUAAUGAUGUCAUUGAAAAAAGAAAUCUAGUACAAGUUGUGUAAUGGCUGCUACCUUCUCUUCUGUACGCGUUAUCCUGUGUUGGAAUACCAGGUCUAGUCUUGAAAGACAAGCAGCUGGAGGCGCUGAAGUGUCUGUACGCUGGUGUUUAUGUGGGUACCGUACUGACCGGCUAUGGUAAGUCCCAGAGCAAGUCCAUCUGCUUUCCAGACACUCCCUUUCUUGAUUGAUGUGAAGCUUGUCAGGACCAGUGCACCUCUCUCUGAAAGAAGUGUUGUGAUGGUGAUUUCUCCUCUUGUUUCUCUGAGUGAAGCCAUCUUCAAAGUGUUGGUGUGUCUGUUCGACGUUCAGUGCCAUUCUCUCUGGAAGGAAGUAUUGUUGUGACAUUUGCCGAAAAUAAGUACGUGGUAUCUGAUCCGAGAACUGUGUGGCCUGAAUGUGUUUACAAUCCGAGGGACUUGUGUGUAUCCUAUCCGAGGGACUUGUUGCUUGAGUGUGUAUUAAUGGAUAGUGCUUUCAAUGGUUUAACUAAUUUCUUAUGAGAUUAACUUGUCGCCUGAGUGUGUAUCCGAUCCAAGCCUCAAGUUAAUGAAUAAAUCUACAGAGCUGAUGUUUUACUUAGCUGUCUCUGUCUACAGUAUAUGCAGAGAGGUAGCCUCUUCUUUUUCUUUUUUCUGUUCUUUAUCACAAUAAGAUAAAAUACUGUUUUAACGUUCAAUGAGAUAAAUACGGUAAAUAAUAAA
Long non-coding RNA from Halichondria panicea, 1933 nucleotides. RefSeq lists it as uncharacterized. The transcript has 2 exons. Lineage: Eukaryota; Metazoa; Porifera; Demospongiae; Suberitida; Halichondriidae. The record is from RefSeq and is a predicted model, not a curated record.